This 254-nucleotide ribosomal RNA is filed under the name uncultured bacterium. Its description in RNAcentral is "partial 16S ribosomal RNA". It matches the Rfam family "Bacterial small subunit ribosomal RNA", at positions 524 to 776 of the family's 1533-position model. The record is from RNAcentral.
UACGAAGGGGGCUAGCGUUGCUCGGAAUGACUGGGCGUAAAGGGCGCGUAGGCGGUUCGGCAAGUCGGAUGUGAAAUCUCCACGCUCAACGUGGAGGGGCCAUUCGAAACUGCCGUGACUCGAGUCCGGUAGGGGAGUGUGGAAUUCCCGGUGUAGCGGUGAAAUGCGCAGAUAUCGGGAGGAACACCAGUAGCGAAGGCGGCACUCUGGGCCGGUACUGACGCUGAGGAGCGAAAGCGUGGGGAGCGAACAGG